Papaver somniferum (opium poppy) is the source of this 605-nucleotide long non-coding RNA. RefSeq lists it as uncharacterized. The record is from RefSeq and is a predicted model, not a curated record. The transcript has 3 exons. Lineage: Eukaryota; Viridiplantae; Streptophyta; Magnoliopsida; Ranunculales; Papaveraceae.
CUUACUCAUCCGUAUGUGAAGGAAACGAAUGUCCCAUUGGAGAUGCUCUUAUUCUUUUUUUCCCUUAAGAGGAGCCGAAUUCUACUCUCGUUUCUCUAUCACUUCUUUUUCUUCUAUUUGUUGAAUCUUACCAGUUCACUUCUUCUUAUUAUUCUUCACCAUCUCAAUUGAACCUUACUCGAGAGAUUGAAGCUCUGAUAUUAGAAAAUAUAGAUUCAUUGGAGGAAGUAAUGCUAAAUUACAAGACAAAAGGAUUGGAUGAAUUUGUAAAUGGUGAAGCUCAAAACACUAAGCGAUUAUGAUCAUACAAAUUGGGUUAAUGCUUGUUGAUUCUUGUCGCCAACUUAUGAAAAUUUUGUUUUUAGUUUUUUUGGAUUUUAUUGAUGUAGAAUUUUGAACGUAAAUAUUUAACUUGUCUUAAACCUUUGUUUAUCUUAAGAAUGUAUGUAGUUAAUGUAAUAAGAACAAUUAGUUUUUAUAUUUUACUGGUUGUGUUUAUUGUGUAUGUUACACUUAUACACUGUUUGCAGGUACAAACUCUAAACUGGUCUUGUACAUACCCGUUAUCAUAGGUACAGGUUCAGGUACUCAAAUGAGGUACCGGU